GGUUGGCGGAAUGCUAUAAUGCAGUCGAACGAGCUUCCGUUGAAUGAUUUGGUUGUACUGGUUUCGAUUGGAUUUUAGUGGCGAAUGGGUGGCUAACGGGUGAGUAACCCGUGGGUAACCUGCCCAGACACUUGGAUACCAGCGGGAUCAGAUGCUAAUACCGUAUAACAAUGGAAACCGUUUGGUUUUCUUUUUCAGCAAGGCUCUGCGAUCGAUUCCGGAUGGACCCACGGCGUAGUAGCUAUUUGGGGAGGUAAAGGCUCACCAACGCAGUGAAACUGAGCCGACCUGAGAGGGUAAUCGGCCAGAUUGGGACUGAAACCCCGCCCAGACUCCUACGGUAGGCAACCUUCCGGAAUCUUCCACAAUGGAAUGAAGUCUGAUGGAGCGACUCCACAUGGGUUUCGACUGGUUUCGGCUCGUAGAUCUCUGUUGUUAAAGAAGAAAGUGGGUGAUAGUAGCUGUUUACCCUUUGACCGUAUUUAACCAGAAAACCACGGGUAACUACCUGCCAUCAUCCGCGGUAGUACAUAGGUGGCAAGCGUUAUCGGGAUUUAUUGGGCGUAAAGCGAGCUUUUGCGUUCUAUUAAAUCUCAUGUGAAAGCCUUCGGCUCAUCCGAAGAAGUGCAUUGGACACUGGUGCACUUGAGUGCAGAGGAACACAGUGUAACUCCAUGUGUAGCGUUGAAAUGCGUAAAUAUAUGGAAGAACACCACUGGCGACUGCGGCUGUCUGGUCUGUGACUGACGCUGACGCUCGAAAGCAUGGGUAGCAAACACGAUGAUAUACCCUGCUAGUCAAUGCCGUAAACGAUGAUUACUAAGUGUUGGCCGUUUCCGCCCUUCCUGCUGCAUCUAACGCAUUAAGUAAUCCGCCUGCCGAGUACGACCGCAAGGAUGAAACUCAAAGAAUUGACGCAGGCCCGCACAACAUGUGGUAGCAUUUGAAUUAACUCGAAGCUACUUACAAAAGCCUUACCAUGUCCUGACAUCUUUCAGACA
RNAcentral lists this ribosomal RNA (1001 nucleotides) under Pediococcus pentosaceus. Its description in RNAcentral is "bacterial SSU rRNA". It matches the Rfam family "Bacterial small subunit ribosomal RNA", at positions 34 to 997 of the family's 1533-position model. The record is from RNAcentral. Lineage: Bacteria; Bacillati; Bacillota; Bacilli; Lactobacillales; Lactobacillaceae.